AUGGAGCCCACAGAGACCGCCUUCCUCGUCGCGGGAGACACGCCGCCGCCGAAGACGGUGCAGCUGGGCCAAGGUGAGGGGUCGGAGCAGCCCCGGUGCGGAUGGGCGUUCUGGGCAAUCCUCUGGGUCGUCACCGGCAACUUAGCGUGGGGGUUGUACCGCGCGCGCCACAGCAGCGCGCACGACCUCGCGUUCGUGAUCAUGGCAUACUACCCCACCUACUUCUGCCUCUGGGGGCUCUACGUCUGCAUCAGGAGGCACGAGCUCCUGCGCCGCGACGACGACCCGGCGGCGGCGCCCGAGCAGCGGCGGGCCAGGUUCAGAGUGUGGGCGACCUCGCUGGCGGUGGGCAGCAUGAUCGUGCUGCAGAUCGCGGGUGACACCCCGGACCUGGCGCCCAAGUUCGCCUUGACCGUGCUCGGCUGUCUCGCCAUGGCACUCGCCUGGUGCUGCAUAUACGCCGGCCACAGAGCCCGUGCGGACGCCGGAAGCUGGCCGGAGAAGGAUCUCCACGAGGUGUCCCCGGAGCACCGGGUUUGA
RNAcentral lists this ribosomal RNA (540 nucleotides) under Triticum aestivum (bread wheat). RNAcentral describes it as "partial small subunit ribosomal RNA". The record is from RNAcentral. Lineage: Eukaryota; Viridiplantae; Streptophyta; Magnoliopsida; Poales; Poaceae.